GGGCUGGGAAAUCAAUUUAGUGUGUAUUUAACCAACCAUUUACAAAAGAGAAACACUGGAAUGGAAUAGAAUGGGUUUGGGCUGAAAUGGGAUGGAAUGGAAUUGCAGAGAAUGAAAUUGAAAAGACCAGAAUGCAUUUAAUAGAGAUUAACCCUGUUUCAUGUAACUUUAUUUUUUUAUUUAUUUAUUUAUUUAUUUUUUUCCCACUGUACAGCAAGGGGGUCAGGUCAUCCUUAGAUGUAUACAUUGCAGUUACAGUUUUUUCCCCCAUCAUGUAACUUUAAUUUCAGUUCUGUUAGGGUGUACAUAAGUUUUGUUCUGGGUCACAGCUUAAAAGUUAUGCCUUGCUGAGGGUCACAAUAAAAAUGUUUUAAAUUCUCAGAGAAAGAGCAUUAAUGUGCAGCAAGGGAAUAUAACAAAUAUUUUAUAAUAACUGUAUAUGGAGUAUAACCUAUAAAAAUAUUGAGUCACUAUGUUUUGCACCUGAAACAAUAUAAUAUUGUAAGUCAACUAUACCUCAAUUAAAAAAAAAAAAACUGAUUGAAUUCUCUCUCAUAUGGAGGUUCCCAGGCUAGGGGUCGAUUCGGAAUUGUAGCUGCUAGCCUACACCACGGCCACAGCAACAUUAGAUCCAAGCCAUGUCUAUGACCUACACCACGGGUCAUGGCAAUGCCAGAUCCUUAACCCACUGAGCAAGGCCAGGGAUUGAACCUGCAUCUUCAUGGAUGCUAGUCAGAUGCAUUUCCACUGAGCCACCAUGGGAACUCCCAUUCAAGUUUCUUGAGAGUGUUUCCAUGUUCUGCAUGUCGAAUGUGACUGUGCAGGUAUUUGGGAUCGUAGUGGGGAACAGCCCCCCCAGCAGAGUCUAUUCAUUCACUAUGUAGUUUACUUCAUUCUCUAGUUUUUACCCCAUAUGUCCGCUCUGUUUUCUUCUGUCUCUGUGUUCUAUAUGGAUUAUCUCCAUCGAAGAACCUCCAAGAAUCUUCGAGAUGAUUCAGCACCUGCCCUUACCCAGCAUUUCCUAACUGAUGUUGUAAAAGGCUGGUACCAGAGACUGGCUGUGAGUGAGUCUUUCUCCUCCCCAUCCAAAGUCCACCGCCCUCUGACAUCGCCAAACCUACUGUGGUCUCUGAUGCUGUUUUUGUUGCUCUAGAGAUGCCUGAGUUUUUGCACAAGCCAAGGUCAAGUAGCCCUGCAUGUCUAAAAGGGUAGAUGUUAACUCUUAAAAGCCAGAAAUUUGGGCACAAAUUUUAGAGCAGUUUUCAAGCACGGGUUAAAAAUAUAUUGGAAGCUGAACAUGUCUGGGGUGAGAAGUUGGGGAAGAUUCAUGUGGCAAAGAGGAGAGUUGCAUCAGGACUGCGUGGUGUUUCACACUUGUAAAGUUUUCUCCCUCUGCCUUUCCUGGAGACCUGAUUGUAGCAGCAGUGAAGGCAGAAUGAAGAGGUGGUAGCAGAGAGAGGCAGAGCACUUGGUGUAAGGAAGGCCUAUUUUUAGGUAUAAAACCUUGUCUUUCCAAUAAUAGAUUGAGGAAGCUCUGGCUUGGCAAUAUGUCUCAGCGUUUCUGUUGACACUUUGGAAUAUGGCUGUCAUGAAGUGAGUGUAAAGUUAGGACCUGCUUUGGAGUUCCCGUCAUGGCUCAGUGGUUAAGGAACCCAAAUAGGAUCCAUGAGGAUGUGGGUUCAAUCCCUGGCCUCACUCAGUGGAUUAAGGAUCUAAUGUUGCGGUGAGCUGUGGUAUAGUUUGCAGACGAGGCUCGGAUCUGGCGUUGCUGUGGCUGUGGCAUUCUCUGGCAGCUCCAGCUCCGAUUUGACCCCUAGCCUGGGAAGCUCCAUAUGCUGCAGGUACAACCCCCAAAAGACAAAAGACAAAAAAAAAAAAAAGUUAGGACCUGCCUCAAGUCAUAAGGAAGCAAGCCUGGAGUUAUUCGACUUGUAUGCAUGGUAGUCCAUUCUGUUCUGGGUACCACAUUUUGUAAUACAUGCUGUAAACCUUAGGCAUUGAAAAACUUUCAUCAAAAUGAAAUGAAUUACACUUCCACCAGCAAUAUAUGCAUUCCUGUUUGCCAAGACUCUCACCCAGUUCUUGCUGUGAUCUGAUUUUAAUUUCUGCUACUCCAAUGGGUAUAAAAAUGACAUCUUGUGGUUGUUACUGUUUGAAGUAAAAGCAUAUUUGAAAC
This 2176-nucleotide long non-coding RNA is filed under the name Sus scrofa (pig). RNAcentral's name for it is "lncRNA (ENSSSCG00030057882.1)". Lineage: Eukaryota; Metazoa; Chordata; Mammalia; Artiodactyla; Suidae. The record is from RNAcentral.